Gallus gallus (chicken) is the source of this 2804-nucleotide long non-coding RNA. RefSeq lists it as uncharacterized. The transcript has 3 exons. The record is from RefSeq and is a predicted model, not a curated record. NCBI's taxonomy places the organism in Eukaryota, Metazoa, Chordata, Aves, Galliformes, Phasianidae.
GGGGGCGGCGGGCGCCAUCUUGUGGAGGGAGGCGCGGGGCGGCGGGAACAUCUUGGCCGUCCGCUGCACGGCCUGUCGCAGCCUGGUGAUGCCCGCACCGUGGCCGCUCCAUCACCCGCCGCCACCUGAGAGGCUCGGGCGGGGCGGUUGAGCCCCGCGGCGCCCGGUGCCAGCAGCGAGGCCCGCCUCACGCUCCUUAGGCACCCUUCGCUUGGCAGCGCUGCUCGCAUCCUUUUAUUAAUUUCUGCUUCACACUUCCGCUUACCUCGCCUCUCCGCUACAGCCAUCCAAGAUGUUCGUUCUCACCAGGGCAUCUUUGCCAAUCUGAGAGAAUAAAGAUCAAAUCCCUACAGAACAAAGAGCCUUGAAGCGCUACAGAGCAGUAGGAAGCCGAGUCAAGCCAUUGGACAGCAUGAAAGAUUUGAAAGCCUGUAUUAAAUUACAAACUUACUGAAUGACCCUCCUGAAGAGAAGAGAUGUCACCUUUCAUUCAGAAGUGGAAAUUUGUCCUCCUAACUGUUUGCAUGCACAUGUGAGAAAGGCAGGCAAAGAGACAGAGGAACAAGGCUGGCUUAGCACCGGAUCCCUAUCAGGAGCAGAAUGCAGCAGGUUAAGCAAUUUUCAGCAGCUGAGCCAGUCUUUGCUGGCUUAUGAGGUGCAGAAGACUUCUGUCCAAGUCCUCUAGCAGCUGCUGUGGGGCCAAGGACUGCUUGAACCACUUUACUGCUGGCAGCUUAUCUCCCACUGAGCAGAUCUGGGGCAGACAAAGGGGAACGGCCCUCUUCUGUCUCAGAAGUGACAGCAUGAGAAUUUGGUCUGUGUAUUUUUUAGGCCUGUUGGUUUCCCAAUGUUUUUUCUGACAAAGCCCUUAAUUCCUUCUAUUGAUGUAAUAAUUGAUCUCCUGACAGUACAGCCUGAAAUGCUGCUAAGCGUUUCAAAUGGGCUCAGAUUAAAUAGCAUAUUAUUUCUCUGUUCAGCUGUGAAAACACCUCCCUGAAAUUAUCCUGUAGGUGAGAUCAGGUUCCUCAACAGGCUACCUCUGAAUUUUCUGUAGCACUUCAGAGGAAAGGGAAGAAUCCCACAGCAUACUGUUUAGGGAUAACCUUCCUGGAGGGAUACUUUCUGGUUAAUCCUUGCCAUCGAGAAGCUGGAUUUUAUGAGCUGUGGUACAGAAAAAAUAAUUUAAAAUCUCAUCUGCUGUAAGAUGUAUAAGUCCUGUUCUACAUUUUCCUGAAUUCUUAGCCUGAAUAAUGCUUUCCAACAAUAAAUUCCACACAUUAUUUAGAUGCCAUGUGGAAAACAUUUCACUGUACCCGCCUCCAUCGUAAUCCAAUGCUCUUCCAUUUCCUGCACAAGGCAGUCAUUUUGUCUUCUCCGUCCUUUGAUAUUCCUUUCUGUGAUGUCCUUGACAUCCGGAUCCAGUGAAGUCAGAGGUAAAGUGAGUGGGAUGGCUUUGUUAGUGCCUGAGGUGCAUUAUAGUUUUGUCUUCUGUUAUUACCAUCCUAUUCUUAUGUGCAUCUAAAACUGGUAGAUCCACCUUUGCAAGUUACUGAUCCUACCAGGUAUUCAGGUUGAUCCACAAUUUGGGUUAUUGUUCCAUAGGAAUAAGUACCUAUGUGCUGUGACAAAUUUACUUGUCAAGUCAUUUGCAAAAAUUUAACAGUAGCUGCUGUUUGCUAUCCAAAGUGUGCGUUCAGGUUCUCUACCAUUAGUUAUACUGGAAGAAGUGAAUGUGUUAGCCUUAUCAAAAUAAACACAGUGAUUUCAAAUCAGCUAAGUGAUUUCUUUGUUUUAAGUCCCGACGUUCUGCAUAUCCUCCAAAGAGUUAAAUCCAUCACAAGCUUGCUAUUUGCCUGAGAGAUUUUACAAAGAGGCAAACUGGUAUUUAGGGUUGGCUUUUUCUUAAAGAAUAGUAGUUUUUGCUGUAGGGACCUAGGUCUGUACUUAAUUGGGGGAGCAAAUGCUUGAAAAGAUACCGUUGGCUUCAGCUCUCUGAUGUCUGAAACACUGAAAAAUGAAUCACCAGGUUGGAAGAAGUACUCAAUUUUAGUUUUCCUCUACAGCCCCAGCACGGAGUCAGGUUGGAUCCUGCAAAUUUAUGACUUCAAAUCAGCUCUGCAUACGUAUCUGCCAUGUGAAUUCCCUGUUCCCCUCCAGUUUAGACUCCAGGCCACGAGUGCUGUGUGUGGGCUGCUGCAGAUACAGGGACCCAGACAUUCAUGGGUUCUGAGUUCGUCUUCUUCCCUCUCCUUUGGCUCAUCUACAAACUUCAGACCUCUUUCCUGGGCAGGGAUUCCACCACUGAGACCCCAGACACUAGGUCUCUAACAGAUUUUGAGUAAAUAAACAAUAGAAGUGCUGAUGAGGACAAAGAUUGUAAAAAAAUUCCCCGGAAAUAAUGAAAGCAUGGUCAGAAGGACAUAGACUGAUGUGCUUGUGAGUGAAUGUGGGCUGGUAGGAGACUGCUGAGCUCACGGUCUGUCAGACUGACCAGAAUUGCCUCAUUGUCUCUUCUUAUUCAUCUCCUGGUUGGUAUCCAUCUGUUGUCUCUUGUCUUAGCAUAUUAAUUUAGGCUCGUAAUUGCAUCCCAUCAUCGAAGAGAUAAUUUUUAAAAAGCUUUUAAAAUAAAUGAACAUUGGCAUUUAACCCAUCCACAAAACUUUCCAGUCUCCAUGCUCUCCCUCAGCUCUGUUCCCCAGUCCCACUCUUGGCCAUUCUGUUCUGCCAGUUAUACCUCCCUGCAUUUCCCAUUUCACUAAUCCAUGACGCCAUUUCUCUGCUCCUGUCCCUAUUUCCCACACAUA